UCCAAAAGUGACAUGCCCUUCAUUUUUGUACUGGAUAUUCUCAAGAUAAUGUGGAUUUCCUGUCAUAUGUCUUGAACAUCCGCUGUCAAAAUACCAAACACUUUGUUCUUGGCUUGUUUCUGAGCAGUACGCCUUUAUGUGUCCUAAUUUGUGGCAGUAAUAACAUCUUAUUCUCCUUCGGUGUUGAAAGUGAUGUUGUGACACCUCAGGAUUUUCAGAAGAGUGGCUUUCACUGGACGCUGGAUUUGGAGAUCUAGGCCUUCCAUCUAGUGCCUUGAUUUCUUGUAACAGUUUGGCCUCUCUGUUUUUAGAUUCUAAUAAUUCAUUUUGAGUUUCUUUGAGGCGCUUUUCUUCUCUCUCUUUUUCACCUUUUAGAAACUGAUUUUCUUGCAUGAGCUCUAGAUUCACUUUGAUGAUUUGUUCCCAUUUAGCAUGCAAUUGGGUAUAUGACUCUAGCAGUUCUUGCAUAUCAUUUUCGUUUCCGUUGUCA
Long non-coding RNA from Ipomoea nil (Japanese morning glory), 490 nucleotides. RefSeq lists it as uncharacterized. The record is from RefSeq and is a predicted model, not a curated record. NCBI's taxonomy places the organism in Eukaryota, Viridiplantae, Streptophyta, Magnoliopsida, Solanales, Convolvulaceae. The transcript is spliced from 2 exons.